This is a long non-coding RNA of Dipodomys ordii (Ord's kangaroo rat), 195 nucleotides long. RefSeq lists it as uncharacterized. The transcript is spliced from 3 exons. NCBI's taxonomy places the organism in Eukaryota, Metazoa, Chordata, Mammalia, Rodentia, Heteromyidae. The record is from RefSeq and is a predicted model, not a curated record.
AGGUGGCAAUUCUAUGUCAGUUCCUCAGAGAAAUCGACUACAAAACAGCCUUUAAAUCUUUGCAGGAACAAAACAGUCAUGAUGCUAUGGAUUCCUACUAUGACUACAUUUGGGAUGUCACCAUCUUGGAAUACUUGACUUAUCUUCAUCAUAAAAGAGGAGAAACAGACAAAAGACAAAUUGCUGUAAGUUACC